Panonychus citri (citrus red mite) is the source of this 4080-nucleotide long non-coding RNA. RefSeq lists it as uncharacterized. The transcript is spliced from 5 exons. NCBI's taxonomy places the organism in Eukaryota, Metazoa, Arthropoda, Arachnida, Trombidiformes, Tetranychidae. The record is from RefSeq and is a predicted model, not a curated record.
AACAUCCAAAUAAAGGUAAGUAUCCAAUGAGUAAAAAAAGCAAAAAUGAUGAAAAAAAAGAGAUGAUGAUGAGCCCAAAAGUCCAAAUGAAGACAGAAGAUGAAAUUGAUAGUCUUUUGUUUUCUUCUAUUCUUAUGACAAAAAAAAACAUCUAAUCACUUUUUCUUAACUAGUGACAAGAUGGAUGAAAAGAGAAAACAAUUUAAUGAAGAAAAAGAGUAUAAGAGAAAAAAAUGUAAAAGAGAAUAGAAAAUGAGAGAGAAUCAACCAAUCAAAAUCGUUUUCUUUUUUUCUUUUUCAAAUGUUACAAUUUUUUUCUAUUCUUUUUUCGUUUUUGUUUUAAUUUAGUUCUUUUUUCUCUCUUCUCUUGGCAACUUAAAUAUAAAAUUGUAUUCUCUCUCUCUCUUUUAAGAUGAGAAAUAUUUAUGGAAUCAUGAUGGUGAUUUUCGUCGAUAAGUGAAAGAAAAAUUUGAUAAAAGAAUCAUAUUCUCUUUCUUUAUGUAUCCUUCUGAUGCACUGGAUCGGGCUACUCCUGUUCUCAUGGACAUUAACUGGACAAAGAGAGAGAGAGAGAGACAGAGAAUGGACAAGAAGAUGAUCAACAAGAUGGUUACCAUUUUAGUGGCAAUUAAUUCCAGAUAAACAUUAAGUCUAUUUGGAUUCAAUGUAUAUUGAGCAGGAUAAAAGGAGGAAAAACAGUUUGGUGACAUUUUCACAUGAAAAUUAAGGUUAAAGGAAAUAUUAUCCGUAUGGAAACCUUGAUACUAUUGGAUCAUCGUUUUUUUCUCUCUUUCUGUUAUUAUCACAUCAUUUCUAUUGGAUUUCUGCCAAAUUGAUUAGGAUUUCUUAUGUAUCCUCUAUUACUGGUUAAUGGCAAUUCUAUUGCUUUCGCUUGAUGUAUAAGACUAAAUAUUAAUCUGAACCAGGAAUCUAAGCUCAAUACAAGUUGAAGUGAAUUAAUCCUUUUGUUGGAUAACCACUAGACGAUGAAGGACCAGCGUAAAACAUGCAAAAGUUUUUAUAGUUAAUCCAUCAUUUACUUGCUGUAUGGUGUAUCUAGUGUACAAAGAAAUAUCAAGAAAAGCAAAACAAGAGGAUCAAGUGGAAAUAAAGAUAAAAUGGCGGUCAAGAUGCUAGAUGAAUCUUAAAGACAAAGAAAAGAAGAGACCUUAUGAAGGAUAAUUAUGAUAAAUGGAAGAAUUGAAGAUACAGUUAUUAUCAUUAUAUAAAUAUAAUGAUAUCUCCAUAGGAAUAUGACAAGAAGAAGUGACUUUCGUUUUUUUUGUUUAGAUUGAUUCAAGCAAAGAAGACGAGAUUAAAACGUCCGGAUAUUGUCAAGAACUAAAUAACCAUCAAAAUUGGCCUUUUAAUCUGCCCAUUCACUAUGAUCGUUUUUCCAUUUUUGCAAAUGAGAUUCUUUUAGCUCUCUCACCAUUGCUAGAUGUACACACACACAAGAGUUUCUAUUUGGAAAAGGUCUCAGAACAACAAUUCAAUAUGAAUCUCUCUCAUCAAGAGAGUUGCGAAACAAGUUAAAGUGAGAGAGAAGGAGAAAAUGUUCAAGAUUUAUCUCUCAUAAGAGAAAAGGAGAGAUAAUUUUCCCUUCUUUCUUCAUGGAUGAGCAUUAAAGCCAAUCUGAUGCUAUUCUUAUACCAGCAUCGAUUCUGCUGUUUAAUACUCAUGGUGAUUUCCAAGCUAAGGAUUGAAAAAAAAACCCAAGAUUCUCAGACUUUGGUAUUGGAUUGAUUGAUUUAAACUAAACUACUGUUGGUUAAUGUGAUCAAAAUCAAAUGGACUCUUCAAUAUGAUUAAAUAAAUCGUUGGGACUUUUUGGAAAAACCAUUUAAGGACAAAACAGUUACAAAAAAAGUUAUUUCAACUAGUGAAGAUGAAGUAGUUUGUUAUACUCAUUGGAAUGGAUUAAAACAAACUUAAAGUUGAAUUGUUGGUGGACUCGAGGAAAAAAAGAGAUCAUUAUGUACAAAUAUGCAAACGAAAAUGAAGGAGAAGGAAAAGAAGAGGAAGACGAAAGAUGGAUGGAAGUGAUGAUGAUGAUAACUAUGGAGCUAUGGAAGAUAAAGAGAAUAAGCAGUUCAAUUGAUGCAGAAGGAAAGAAAAGAAAGUAAUCGCUUCUUGAGAGAUAAAAUCGGUUGAAGAAAAGAACUCAAAGUACAAGAUAAAAGAGAGAGAGAGAAAGAUGAUGAUAAUGAAAAAUACAGAAUUUUUUCUUCAUUUUUUUCCUUCUCUCCAUGAACAAGAUAAAGACGAAUAACAAGAAUAAAGAUAUUCUAAAAAAGAUCAAAAAAGAGGAUAAAGAAAAGGAAAAGGAAAUGACAAAGUUACCAAGCAUCAAGAAAGGGAGAAUGAAAAUGAAGACGAAAACGAAGACGAAGAAGAUAGAACGAGAAUUGAGCGAAUAUAAAACUGGAGCAACAAAAAAAAAGGAGAUGAUAGCGAAAUGGAAAUGAUGCUAAAGAGAUGAAACAAGAAAGAUGAGGAAUCAAGUGAAAGAAUCAAAAAGAUGACGAAAAAAAUUUCUAUGAAAAGUCUUGGGUUAUAAUAACAUAGAGAAAAUAAUGGUUCAAUGAAUAAUCGUUGAUGUGGAUCGCAGUUUUGAUAACAUACGAUGGCAAUCAUAGAAUUAUAUUCUUCGUUCAACUCGUCAACACGAUUCAAGUAAAUUGAUGAAAAAAAAGGAGGCAAAAGUGAUGUUCAUCAUCUCUUCAUCAUGACGAUGAUUAGGAAGUAAAAAUUGAGAAAAGAACAAAACUUUAAGGACCAUUGAUGAGGAGAAAAUGGAUUCACAUGUAAAGAGGAAGGAUUCAUGUUCGUUAAGAUUUCGUUACCUUCAUUUUCAUCAGCAUACUCUUCAUCUUUAUGCUGCUCGGGAAAAAGAUCUCAACUCAAAAUCAAUAAUGAUGUAAGCCCUGGUUUAGAAAUUUUCAGUUUCCUGGUAAUUCUCAUUCAUUUUCCAGUCUCUCUCUCCUUCUCUUACUUUCUUUUCUUUCUCUUUCUCUUUCUCAGUAUCAUUAUCAUGAUGCUAUUUUGCCUCCAAGACUUGGUUACGAUAAAAGAGACUAGGAAAAGAAAGUGAAGAUUAUAUUUGAGAGAGAGAGAGAGAGAGAUGAUUAAGACGAUAAAAGAAAGGAUAAUGAUGGCAACAGUGAUAAAAUCUUUGGAUCGAGCAAAACUUAUAUCAAAAGAGGUGGAAAAAUAAACAAUCCAGAUAAACAAGUUCUCAAGAAAUAAAUAUGAACAAAAUAGAGAACAAGAAAAAUGGAGAUGGAAUAGGAAAGCAAAUCAAAAGAAAAGAUAAUAUUCAUCUUGAUCAUCAUAAUCAAAAAUAUAACAAUUUAACCUAAAAGGAUGGAUACAAUUUCAACGUCAUCGAUUGAAAAGAUGAGGUGAUAGCGUGGAAAAUGAAAUACGAAAAGAAAAGGAUAAAAUAAUUCUACCAAUAUGAAUUAUUAUUAUUCACUAGGAUGCAAUUACUAUUAAUAGUCAAUGGAAAAUAAACUCUUGUCAUUUCGUCACAUGGAAAAAUAUUUUCGUUUAAAAUACGAAAUGACCUGUCCAAAAGAAGCCGUUAACGCAUGAGACCAGGAAAAAGAAUGAUAAAAAUUUAUAUAACUGAGAAGAAAUUUUCGUUAUAAUAUAUUAAUAAUUGUCACAAUUCAAGUGAAUCAAUGAAUGACGAUAAAGUAAUUGAAUGAAUAAAUGGUAAUCAGAUAAUAACAGAGGCAACGAUGAUAACGGUUCAAACUGAUAUCAGAUUGAAUUGAGUUUCCUUGAAAGAGAGAAAUGAAAAAAGAAAUGCUAUCCACGAUUACGUUGAUAAUACACCUUAAUCACCAUCAUCAUCAUAAAUGGAAAACAAUUACAAUAUCAAUAUCAAGAUUUAAUUGGAAAGACAGAGUUUGUGUUACAAAGGAUCCAUGGAAAGGAAGGAGAAAAAAACUAAAGUGAAAUAUAUUUUUUUUCCUUCUCUCUUCAGAAUAGAUUCAAUUCUUUGAUGAAGCAAGAAAAAUUACCUGAUAAUUUAUCCUGAUACUGAGAAAACACAAUAGUGAAGUCAUCUGU